AUUUAAUUUUUAAUAAAAUAAUAUAAAUAUGAAUUAUAUUAAAAAUUAAAUAAAAUUUAUGAUUUUAAUUAUAUUAAGAAGGAAUAUUAUAUUUGUAACACUUGUCAAUAUAUUAUUGCAUUUUCAUUACAUUAUCAACUUGAAAAUUGGAAUCACGACUCAAGGAUGUAACAUUCCAAAUUACUUAUUAAAAAAAAAAUCAAAUUACAAAAGAGUAAAACUCUAAAUACUCUUUCAUAAAAAAAAAAAAAGAAAACAUUCUAAAUUUACUGUGUAAUUGGGCAAGCAAUGCAAGAAAAUGGAAGUGCAAUGUACAAGCAUUUAAAUGUGAUUAAAAAAAAAA
RNAcentral lists this unclassified non-coding RNA (343 nucleotides) under Hevea brasiliensis (rubber tree). The record is from RNAcentral. Lineage: Eukaryota; Viridiplantae; Streptophyta; Magnoliopsida; Malpighiales; Euphorbiaceae.